UGCAAACUGUUGUUCCUGGGUAUGUC
This 26-nucleotide non-coding RNA is filed under the name Homo sapiens (human). Lineage: Eukaryota; Metazoa; Chordata; Mammalia; Primates; Hominidae. The record is from RNAcentral.